Molecule: ribosomal RNA, 464 nt
Filed under: uncultured bacterium
Lineage: Bacteria
Description: partial 16S ribosomal RNA
Rfam family: Bacterial small subunit ribosomal RNA
Source: RNAcentral
GACGAACGCUGGCGGCGUGCCUAACACAUGCAGGUCGAACGGAGUCGGCCCCGCAAGGGACUGACUUAGUGGCGAACGGGUGAGUAACGCGUGAGCAACCUGCCUUUCAGUGGGGGACAACAGUUGGAAACGACUGCUAAUACCGCAUAAUGCAUUUUGACCGCAUGAUCGAGAUGCCAAAGAUUUAUUGCUGAAAGAUGGGCUCGCGUCUGAUUAGAUAGUUGGUGAGGUAACGGCCCACCAAGUCGACGAUCAGUAGCCGGACUGAGAGGUUGAACGGCAACAUUGGGACUGAGAUACGGCCCAGACUCCUACGGGAGGCAGCAGUGGGGAAUAUUGGGCAAUGGGGGAAACCCUGACCCAGCAACGCCGCGUGAAGGAAGAAGGCUUUCGGGUUGUAAACUUCUUUUACCAGGGACGAAGAAAGUGACGGUACCGGGAGAAAAAGCCACGGCUAACUACGU